AGCGAACGCUGGCGGCAGGCUUAACACAUGCAAGUCGAACGCCCCGCAAGGGGAGUGGCAGACGGGUGAGUAAUACGUGGGAACGUACCCUUUGGUUCGGAAUAACUUGGGGAAACUCAAGCUAAUACCGGAUAAGCCCUUAUGGGGAAGGGUUUACUGCCGAAGGAUCGGCCCGCGUCUGAUUAGCUAGUUGGUGAGGUGAUGGCUCACCAAGGCGACGAUCAGUAGCUGGUCUGAGAGGAUGAUCAGCCACACUGGGACUGAGACACGGCCCAGACUCCUACGGGAGGCAGCAGUGGGGAAUAUUGGACAAUGGGGGCAACCCUGAUCCAGCCAUGCCGCGUGAGUGAUGAAGGCCUUAGGGUUGUAAAGCUCUUUUACCCGGGACGAUAAUGACUGUACCGGGAGAAUAAGCCCCGGCUAACUUCGUGCCAGCAGCCGCAGUAA
RNAcentral lists this ribosomal RNA (447 nucleotides) under uncultured bacterium. RNAcentral's name for it is "partial 16S ribosomal RNA". It matches the Rfam family "Bacterial small subunit ribosomal RNA", at positions 29 to 523 of the family's 1533-position model. The record is from RNAcentral.